RNAcentral lists this ribosomal RNA (510 nucleotides) under uncultured bacterium. RNAcentral describes it as "bacterial SSU rRNA". It matches the Rfam family "Bacterial small subunit ribosomal RNA", at positions 28 to 511 of the family's 1533-position model. The record is from RNAcentral.
GACGAACGCUGGCGGCGUGCUUAACACAUGCAAGUCGAACGGACGGACUCGAUAGCUUGCUAUUGAGAAAGUUAGUGGCAAACGGGUGAGUAACGCGUAGGCAACCUGCCCUUCAGAUGGGGACAACACUUCGAAAGAGGUGCUAAUACCGAAUGACGUAUCCAUUCCGCAUGGAGAGGAUACCAAAAGGCCCGGGGCAAACCGGGUUCACUGAAGGAUGGGCCUGCGUCUGAUUAGCUAGUUGGUGGGGUAACGGCCCACCAAGGCGACGAUCAGUAGCCGGUCUGAGAGGAUGAACGGCCACAUUGGGACUGAGACACGGCCCAAACUCCUACGGGAGGCAGCAGUGGGGAAUCUUCCGCAAUGGGCGCAAGCCUGACGGAGCAACGCCGCGUGAGUGAAGAAGGUUUCGGAUCGUAAAGCUCUGUUGAGAGGGACGAGAGGCAAGGCUAGGAAAUGAGCUUUGUAGGACGGUACCUUUCGAGGAAGCCACGGCUAACUACGUGCCAG